AGGUACGGCAUCCGCUGCAACACCGUUCUGCCGGGUUUCAUCCGCACCCCCAUGACGGACAAGGUCCCCACCAAAGUCCUGGAUAAGUUCGCUGCGAUGGUGCCGAUGGGACGCCUGGGGGAGCCCGAAGAUGUGGCCGACGUCUGUGCCUUCCUCGCUUCGGACGAGAGCCGGUAUAUCACCGGUGCCAGUCUGGAAGUGACAGGGGGCCUCUUCAUCUGAGCCUCUGCCGCCCCCUGCUGGGGAGACCCUCACGGACACGCUUCCAGGAAGGACUCUGCCCUCCACGGACGGACCUGGUGCUUGGCCAAUGCCCGUUCCCUGCCAGGGGGCUGUAAAGGAUGAGCCCUGGACUUGUAUGGAAGGGAGGGGGGCUCUUCCGGCCCAGGCUCGACCCCCCCCCUCCCACAAUAGAGAGCUGCAAUUGCUGUUUCAGGCUGGUGGUGGCUGGGAGUUGAUUUAUAAUUCACCUGUGGAUAAACGGAGCGAUCGAUUGAGUAAAGGUGCUUUUUUAAAGACUUA
Molecule: non-coding RNA, 522 nt
Organism: Thamnophis sirtalis
Lineage: Eukaryota; Metazoa; Chordata; Lepidosauria; Squamata; Natricidae
Source: RefSeq, a predicted model, not a curated record